CAAGCACAGAGUUCCUGUUGUUGUAUUUGCUGGGCGGGGAAUGAUUAUCAAAUGAAACUUCCUGCCCAGCAGUGAGCAUGAAGUUCUAGGGUGUUUGGUGAAAAGUAGAAAGAAUUCUUCAACUCUCUUAAUUGAAGGCAAAUAUAAAGCCACUGUCAUUCCUCCUGUCUGUGUAUCUACUGUUGUAACUCAUGUGAGAGGAAUAAACCAGCGCUCCCUAUUUCUUUAGUUAUUUAUUUAUUUGCUGUGGAUCAGAAAGGGCCAACCUGCUUGAGAUCUUCUGAGAGACCCCCGUCUCUUCAAAAUGCCAAGAGAAGGAGAUUAGACACGUAAGAAACUGGCAUAGAAAUAAGCUGCUCUCCAAGUCAAGCAGCUUUCCUGCCCACAGAGGAGCUUUCCAGUGCAAUUGCUUUCAGAACAUGGAACAUACUUGCUGAGUGACCGAGCAGUGACAGCCAGAGAUUAAUGUGCCCUGCUCUGCACGAGGUUGUGGAGGAUUUUGGGAAAAAAACCUUUGUGCUUCCAGGAAUACAUGAUUUGAAAGCAAUAAUGUGCCUGAUUUGUCAAGAAUAACUAGUUGUGUUUUCUUACUGAAUUGCUUAUGGGAGACAGAUUUUCUUAUAACUGGAAUUUCAGUGCCAUGGCAGAUCAAUGUAUCCAAUUAAAAAGCUUUAAUCAGAAGAACACAGUAUCUUUGUUUAACAUGUAAAACUGAAGUAAGCCAAUUUUUUGUUGUUGUUAUUAUCUAGCAAUGGUGAUGCACAGAAGUACAAAGGGAAGAAGCUUGAGGUGAGGUGUGAUCUCACAAAAUGUUGCAAUUGCAUUCACGAGCAAACAGCAGAGGAGGACAGUGAGACAGUUAAAAGCAGAAGAAUGAACAACCAUCAGCUACUCUGUUCAGCAGCUGCUGUUUCUAAGGAAGCUGAUUAGAAACUGACAUGUGAUUUCUUAUUUAAAACUGUGAUUAGUUUGCUUCCUGCUCCGUUGUUGACUGGAUGGAAAAUAUGCCAGACUUUUCCUUCAGAUUGGGAGAGACACUGUUCAGAUGAUGAACUUCUUGAUACAAAGAGGAAACUGGAUUUCAAUUUGAAAGGUGGCUUUUCUCUCCAAGAUGCCUUAAAACAAACAAACAAACAAACAACAACAACAACAACAAACUGGACUGCAUAAAAGUAGGCAUGUAACAUCCAUCACUGGGCUCAGGAUAUGCUCAUUCAUUACACUGCCACAUCUGCAUGCAGGUUCUGGAUGCCUUCUGUAGGAUCCAUUUCGUGCCAGCAGGAUGAGUUAAUCGAUUUGAGCUGCUGGAAAAUGAAUCAGUUUCACUUAGUGACCACAGAAUUGCUUGAUCUAAUGGAGAGGAAGAAAACCAGCCUUGAGAGAGAGGUGACCUUAGUCUGAUGGUUAGGGCAUUUAGGUGGGUGGCAGCAGGCAUUAUUAAAUUCCAGCUCAAAAGUAGGUGGGACAGGAUUUAUUGUAACUUGUCUCAGCUACACUGUAAGGUUGUUUUGCUACUAGGGCAUUGUGUGUAAGGUGAGCGUGUAACAGUCACCCUCUAGUCACUUUCUCUAAGGGUGGAUAGGGAGGUGUACACCAAGCAUUCCUGCUUUGUGGCUUUGGUCAGGAAGCCUGGGUGAGAAGAUUCUUUCUGUAAGAGUAAUGGCAGGGUUCAGAGAAGGGCUGUUUCACAGCAGCUCUGUGUUAUGACAUACUUGUAACCUCAGUGUCUGGUUGCCAGCAGAAAUUAAAACAUAGACUUCACGUGCACCUACAGUUUGAUGGCAUUUCACCAGGUACAUUGGGAAUCUGAGAGAUUUUGUCAGUGUUGCAAGUUCCUCAGAAUUCAGUGAUGUGUUUCAUGCAGUUCCAUCAGUGUAAGUUUUAAGACGUGACCAUGAGUGGAAAGGCUGUCAGGAAUAUUCUGUGAUAAACAAGAGAAUAUUUUUUUUCCUUUGGAUCAGUUGAGAAUAACGCACAAGGACAUAAAGAAAGGGAAUUGGUGGAAAUAGUAGUAGUAUCAAAUACCAGAAUCUGUAACAAUUCAGUAUAAUAAAGCCUGCAGUAUAAGUGCCUGCAGAAAUGUAUACGGUAGAUGCUUGCUUUACACUGCCACCCUCAUGCAGAGAUUUUUGCUUAAGAAAUGCCACCUUUAGUUUGUGUCAGGAAUAUGAAAUGACCCUGUCCUAUGAACGACUUACAAAUAUUUGGCAUUUUGAAUCUUUCAUCAGCUAUCUCUCUUGACCUUGUUUGCCCUGUUGUAGACUAAUAAAUAGCAAAAAAAACCCUUGCUGUUGCAAUUCUGACCCAGUCCUAACAGUGUUCAUUUUUUUCAGUCUGUAGUGUUGCAUGCAUUGUCUUUAAUAUUGCUUUUAAAUAACUGUAGUGUUUAUUUUUGUGUGCUGCUACGAUAUCUGAUAUUUUCACUAUUAUUUUUGUCACAGAUCCAACAUUCUGCUAAACCAAAGGAUUUUAUUUAUUUUAUUUUUUUAUUUUUGUAAAAAGAGAACUUUUACACUGAGGGUAAAAUACUUUUAUGCUUUCUUCCCUGUGAUCUAGCAGCAACAAUACAUCUGUGCAGGUAAUACACAAACUUCUAGAGCUUUUCCAGUCAAGAGCAUCCAUGCCUUUGAUAACCUGGCAAUCCACCCUUGCUACUCAGCACUAAAAUUCUGUUCAUUCUCAGUGGUUCUUCUUCUUUACCCCCUUUCCCCAACCACACAUAUUGAAUGUUGUUUGCAUUCUGUAUAGUUUAUUAUCCUUUGCUUGUACUUACAGAGUUGAUGAGUUACUUCACAUAUGGGCUAUUCAAAUAAAAAUAUGGUUGGUGAGUAAUUCACAUGUAUGCUUAUAUUUAAGUUGAUACUUGCUUAAUGUACACAACUGAUAUUUUUAGAUGAGAAGUUGCAUUAAGAAUGAAAUGUUCUGCCUCCUAGUGGUCCUAGUCUGCAAGACAUGGAAACAGUGGUCUUUCUGUUUCAGAAUGGCCCCGUCCUGUGGUGCUGCUCUGUAUCUGCAGAUUUGCUGGUUUGUUUGUUUUCUUAUUCUUUAUUUUUUAUUUCUUUGUCAUAUGAAGAUGAUGAAGAGGGCUGGAACACCUCCCCUACAAAGACAGGCUGAGGGAGCUGGGCUUGUUCAGCCUGGAGAAGAGAAGGCUGUGAGCAGACCUCAGUGCAGCCUUCCAGUAUCUAAAAGGGGAUUAUAAAAAGGAGGGGAAUCAACUUUUUACAAGAGUAGACAGUGGUAUGUCAAGGGGGAAUAAUUUUAAGCUCAGAAAGGAAAGGUUUAGAUUGGAUAUCAGGGGGAAGUUCUUUACCAAGAGAGUCGUGAGGUGCUGGAACAGGCUGCCCAGAGAGGUUGUAGAUGCUCCAUCCCUGCAGGUGUUCAGAACAAACUUGGAUGGGGCCCUGGGCAGCCUGGUCUAGUACCAGAUCUGGAGGUUGGUGACCCUGCCUGUGGCAGAGGAGUUGGAACUUAAUGAUCUUUGGGAUCUUUUCGAACCCAAGCCAUUCUGUUGUUCUAUGAUAUGUUUAAGCAAAAUGAGAAUGUGGUUUUGUAGGAGUCUUGGUUCACUUGAUUAAUUUUUUUGCAAGGUGAUAACUUUAAUUUUUAGAAGCAUGCAGGAAAGAAGAUGGAGACUGUUGAAGGAAAAAAUUGGCUGCAGGAAAUAGCUGUCUUAACGUUUCAGUACCAGUUUACAAGAGAGGUGGACGAAUUUUUUUCAAUUGUAUGCGAAGUUGGGUAUGGUUGGUUUUUUUUAAAGUAUUCUUAUUUAUAUCACUACUGACAUGCUAUAUUAGGAAUUGGUGGAUGCAUGCGAUAGCAAAUACAUACACAUUCAAGCAAUUGGAAAAGCUAUUGCCUCAUUAAUAAUGUGCUUUUCCAUGUAUUUUUAUUCCUGCAUUAAUGGUAUGUACUUGUCCAAUUCAUUCCCUCGAUUAAAAUAAGUUCAUUUAAGAUGAAAAACAUAAUAAACUCAAUCCAGCUUUCAAAAUUGUCAGUACCAUUUUUAUAACCAAGCAAUGAAAAUUAGCUUGUCUGUUGCCACAUAAAUUUGGAUAAUUCUUGCUAACUGUUCUUACAGAAUUAAUUAGGAAGUGAUACUUAGUAAUAGCUAACUAUUUUUUCUUGUGUGCAUAUUGUCUUUAAGGUGACAUAUUAAAUAACAAAUCCUUUCCAGUUUAAUCUUUGCCAUCAGAUGAACCUUGUCCUGUCACAGAUGAAUAGUUUUAUUUUCUGAAGUAUUUUGCUGAAGGCAACCUGUUUCAGUUGUCAUUCUGAUGUGUUUCAGCUUGGUGUUUGCACAAUGUAGAUAUCUCUAACAAGACUUGUGUAUUUUCUUCUCUUUUGCUACACCAGAAGUGGUACUUCCAUGUGGAUGACUGCAUUUUGAUUAAUUCUUUUUUUUUUUUCCUUUGAUUUGAUUUCUCUCAAUUGUACAUGUUACUGCAUUCCAUUUUACUGGACAGAACAUGCUACUAUCUGCCUUGGUUAGUCUAUCGUCUGUCUUACUUAUGUAAUGAAUGACACCGCCAUGGCAAUUUCUGUUUCUUGUAUGUAGAACACAGUACUUGUAGCACUCGUAUUCACUUCUGUUUUAAUGCAAUUUUAGCAGUAGAAACUAUGGGGGGAAAUAAGUAAAACCAUCAGUUCAUAGAAUCACCAAGGUUGGAAAGAACCUCCAAGAUUAUCUAGUCCAGCCAUCCACCUACCACCAAUAUUUCCCCACUAAACUAUGUCCCUUAGUAUAUCUAAACAUUUCUUGAACAUCUUUAGGGAUACUGACUCCACCACCUCCCUGGGCAGCCCAUUCCAGCACCAGAACAUUCCAUCAGAGAAGAAAUUUUUUCAAAUAUCCAUCCUGAACUUCCCCUGGUGCAACUUGAGGCCAUUUCCUCCAGUCCUCUCAUUACUUAUGUGGGAGAAGAGACUCACCACAACUUCCUUUCAUGGAGCUGUAGAGUGAUAAGGUCUCCAAGCAAGGGUAUGCUUGUGGUAACAGCCUCAGGUGUUUUCUAUGCACCUGUGGUACACAGAAACAUGAUGGUGUUCACCGCUUCAGAGGAUGGAGCUUGCCUUCCCUUGUGCUUCAUUGUGUCUGACACUGUACUUGCCUGAGGAGUCAGAGAUGAGUACAUGAGUCACUCAGGGAGAUCUCUGUCUGCCCAUGGGUUUUCCUCAUGCAGCUUUGCAUCCUUGGCAGGCAGGGUUUGGCCUGAAGAAGUAGCACUUAUGUUGAUUGCUACUAGGUAACUUUAAUG
This is a long non-coding RNA of Gallus gallus (chicken), 5258 nucleotides long. NCBI's taxonomy places the organism in Eukaryota, Metazoa, Chordata, Aves, Galliformes, Phasianidae. The record is from Ensembl.